This is a long non-coding RNA of Podarcis raffonei (Aeolian wall lizard), 513 nucleotides long. RefSeq lists it as uncharacterized. The record is from RefSeq and is a predicted model, not a curated record. Lineage: Eukaryota; Metazoa; Chordata; Lepidosauria; Squamata; Lacertidae. The transcript is spliced from 3 exons.
UUCAGAACUACACAGCGCAUCAGAACUUCAGUUACCUCAGGAACAAUCAUGCCACGCUGACUGGUUGCUAGGUAACACCUUCUACACCACAACUGCCCUCUUGGCUGGAUGUCUAGCAGUCAAUAGAGUUAACCCAUAGGUUACUAACAGAAUGAUCCCUGCUGUUGCUCUUCUAACAUACUGAGCCUGGGAUAACAAUUGCUCUAGUAAUAGGAAUCAAUAUAUUUUCAAAUAUUACAAACUCUAGAUUCUGGGAUUUUUCUUUCUUUCUCUUCCUUACAAGUUUCCAUGCCCUCUUUUUCCAGCAGCAUCAGGGGAGAUAAGCAAGCAAGCAGACCAACCGAAAGCAGGAUAAGCAAAAGAUGUUCCUGCCUACAUCAUCAGAACCCUCCCUGGCAUGAGAGCAGCCAGUGGCAAUGGUAGCGAGGAUGACACAACUAUCUGACCUCUCUCUACCAAGCUUUCCAUUACGAUCAGCAUCAUCAGGACUCCCUCAACCUCACUGUCUAAUGA